UCGGUGUGUACAAGACCCGGGAACGUAUUCACCGCAGCAUUCUGAUCUGCGAUUACUAGCGAUUCCAGCUUCGUGUAGUCGGGUUGCAGACUACAGUCCGAACUGAGACGUUAUUUUUGGGAUUUGCUCCACCUCACGGUCUCGCUUCCCUUUGUUCACGCCAUUGUAGCACGUGUGUAGCCCAAGUCAUAAGGGGCAUGAUGAUUUGACGUCAUCCCCACCUUCCUCCGAGUUGUCCCCGGCAGUCUCAUUAGAGUGCCCACCAUUACAUGCUGGCAACUAAUGACAAGGGUUGCGCUCGUUGCGGGACUUAACCCAACAUCUCACGACACGAGCUGACGACAACCAUGCACCACCUGUCUCCCCUGUCCCGAAGGAAAGGUGACAUUACUCACCGGUCAGCGGGAUGUCAAGGGCAGGUAAGGUUCUUCGCGUUA
Molecule: unclassified non-coding RNA, 437 nt
Filed under: uncultured bacterium
Lineage: Bacteria
Description: contains 16S-23S intergenic spacer region
Source: RNAcentral